This 346-nucleotide unclassified non-coding RNA is filed under the name soil metagenome. Its description in RNAcentral is "partial contains 5.8S ribosomal RNA, internal transcribed spacer 2, and large subunit ribosomal RNA". The stretch from base 1 to 120 matches the Rfam family "5.8S ribosomal RNA", at positions 35 to 154 of the family's 154-position model. The record is from RNAcentral.
GAUGAAGAACGCAGUGAAAUGCGAUAAUUAAUGUGAAUUGCAGAAUUCAGUGAAUCAUCGAGUCUUUGAACGCACAUUGCGCCCCCUGGUAUUCCGGGGGGCAUGCCUGUCCGAGCGUCAUUGCUGCCCUCAAGCACGGCUUGUGUGUUGGGCUUCCGUCCCUGGCAACGGGGACGGGCCCAAAAGGCAGUGGCGGCACCAUGUCUGGUCCUCGAGCGUAUGGGGCUUUGUCACCCGCUCCCGUAGGUCCAGCUGGCAGCUAGCCUCGCAACCAAUCUUUUUAACCAGGUUGACCUCGGAUCAGGUAGGGAUACCCGCUGAACUUAAGCAUAUCAAUAAGCGGAGG